This 234-nucleotide ribosomal RNA is filed under the name uncultured bacterium. RNAcentral's name for it is "partial 16S ribosomal RNA". It matches the Rfam family "Bacterial small subunit ribosomal RNA", at positions 96 to 334 of the family's 1533-position model. The record is from RNAcentral.
UGGCGGACGGGUGAGUAAUGUCUGGGAAACUGCCCGAUGGAGGGGGAUAACUACUGGAAACGGUAGCUAAUACCGCAUAACGUCGCAAGACCAAAGAGGGGACCUUCGGGCCUCUUGUCAUCGGAUGUGCCCAGAUGGGAUUAGCUAGUAGGUGGGGUAACGGCUCACCUAGGCGACGAUCCCUAGCUGGUCUGAGAGGAUGACCAGCCACACUGGAACUGAGACACGGUCCAG